UGGGGAUAUUGGGCAAUGGGCGAAAGCCUGACCCAGCCACGCCGCGUGAAUGAUGAAGGCCUUCGGGUUGUAAAACUCUUUUUAUGGGGAAGAAAAGCCCCGUGCGUGAUAGGGGUUGAGGGUGCCGGAACAAUAAGAAGAGGCCCCGUCUAAGCCCGUGCCCGCGGUAAUAAUAAUAA
RNAcentral lists this ribosomal RNA (179 nucleotides) under uncultured bacterium. Its description in RNAcentral is "partial 16S ribosomal RNA". It matches the Rfam family "Bacterial small subunit ribosomal RNA", at positions 356 to 530 of the family's 1533-position model. The record is from RNAcentral.